GCGAAACCGCGAAUGGCUCAUUAAAUCAGUCAUGAUUCAUUGGAUGUUGUAAAAUCCUUACUCGGAUAACUGUGGUAAUUCUAGAGCUAAUACGUGCAACUAAGCUCCGACCCCGGCCGGGGUAUCGGCUUCACUGUCGAUAUUCUCGGUCGGGGGAAGGGCGCAUUUGUUAGACCAAAAACCGGGUGGAAAGUAAGGGCGUCGUUUUCAUUAACGUACUAACCCCCAAAUCCUCCAAUUCGGUUAUGUGGUGACUCUGAAUAACUACAGCCGAGCGCUGAGGUCUUUGUACCGGCGCCGUAUCUUUCGAGUGUCUGCCUUAUCAGCUCUCGAUUGUAGGUUAUUCGCCUACAAUGGCUGUAACGGGUAACGGGGAAUCAGGGUUCGAUUCCGGAGAGGGAGCCUGAGAAACGGCUACCACAUCCAAG
Molecule: ribosomal RNA, 428 nt
Filed under: Balloniscus sellowii
Lineage: Eukaryota; Metazoa; Arthropoda; Malacostraca; Isopoda; Balloniscidae
Description: bacterial SSU rRNA
Rfam family: Eukaryotic small subunit ribosomal RNA
Source: RNAcentral